ACAGGUAGUCGAGGAGAGAAUCCUAAGGUGAGCGAGAGAACUCUCGUUAAGGAACUCGGCAAAAUGACCCCGUAACUUCGGGAGAAGGGGUGCUGAUCUAAGAUCAGCCGCAGUGAAUAGGCCCAAGCGACUGUUUAUCAAAAACACAGGUCUCUGCAAAAUCGUAAGAUGAAGUAUAGGGGCUGACGCCUGCCCGGUGCUGGAAGGUUAAGAGGAGUGCUUAGCGUAUGCGAAGGUACGAAUUGAAGCCCCAGUAAACGGCGGCCGUAACUAUAACGGUCCUAAGGUAGCGAAAUUCCUUGUCGGGUAAGUUCCGACCCGCACGAAAGGCGUAACGAUUUGGGCACUGUCUCAACGAGAGACUCGGUGAAAUUUUAGUACCUGUGAAGAUGCAGGUUACCCGCGACAGGACGGAAAG
Molecule: ribosomal RNA, 418 nt
Filed under: Enterococcus hirae
Lineage: Bacteria; Bacillati; Bacillota; Bacilli; Lactobacillales; Enterococcaceae
Description: partial 23S ribosomal RNA
Rfam family: Bacterial large subunit ribosomal RNA
Source: RNAcentral